AGAACGAACGCUGGCGGCAUGCCUAAUACAUGCAAGUCGAACGAACUCUUCGGAGUUAGUGGCGCACGGGUGCGUAACGCGUGGGAAUCUGCCCCUUGGUUCGGAAUAACAGUUGGAAACGACUGCUAAUACCGGAUGAUGACGAAAGUCCAAAGAUUUAUCGCCAAGGGAUGAGCCCGCGUAGGAUUAGCUAGUUGGUGAGGUAAAGGCUCACCAAGGCAACGAUCCUUAGCUGGUCUGAGAGGAUGAUCAGCCACACUGGGACUGAGACACGGACCCAAACUCCGUACGGGAGCAGCGAGGUGGGAAUA
RNAcentral lists this ribosomal RNA (311 nucleotides) under uncultured soil bacterium. RNAcentral's name for it is "bacterial SSU rRNA". It matches the Rfam family "Bacterial small subunit ribosomal RNA", at positions 26 to 363 of the family's 1533-position model. The record is from RNAcentral.